RNAcentral lists this long non-coding RNA (443 nucleotides) under Balaenoptera musculus (blue whale). RNAcentral's name for it is "lncRNA (ENSBMSG00010011269.1)". Lineage: Eukaryota; Metazoa; Chordata; Mammalia; Artiodactyla; Balaenopteridae. The record is from RNAcentral.
GGGGACCAGUAAAAGAUGUCUUGGCUCUGUGUAUGCCUAAAGAUGCAAAACCACAACACUUCUGAUCAUCUUUAACAGCUUCAUUGAAGAAAGGUUCUGAUUACUUCUCCACCCAUCAACUACCACUCGCCCACCUCUACCCUCAACCCUUGAGAAGUACCAUACAAUAGCCACAUCAGAAGCCAGGGAAUAAUAGUGGGCAGAAAGUUUUGCAAAUAUUAACUUUCUGAUCUAACAAACCCAUCUGUAUCUCCUUCUCCUAUAAACAUUCUGUUUGGCAGUACUGCUAAGAUCUAUUUCUCCUCUUUCAUUUUCUAAUUAACUUACAAUGUGUUUUCUCUAAAUUCACAAUGAGCUUGUAAUAAAAGUAAUUUGCUUCACCAGGUGGUAUUUCUCACAUUCCAGAUGUUAAUAUAGGUCUUAAACCAUGGUCAGCUUUAAGA